Molecule: long non-coding RNA, 1670 nt
Organism: Oryctolagus cuniculus (rabbit)
Lineage: Eukaryota; Metazoa; Chordata; Mammalia; Lagomorpha; Leporidae
Source: Ensembl
ACCCCAAAUGCUACUCUUAUUUUUCCCACUUUACGCAUUAGAAAACCAACAUCUAAAGAUGUGGAGUCACUUAGUCUGUGUGCCCAGUUGGACUUGAUGCAGAAAUUCCAAGCGCCGCCAUGCAGCCCAGCAACCUUUCGCAGGCUGAGCCCUAAGCCCGUGACGUUGAGGCCCACCUCAGCACACCCCCUUCCUCUCUGCCUAUCCAGAUUCCCUCUAUACCUGAAGCCCAAGUCAGAGCCUUCUUUUCCUUCUGCAGCCUUUCUGCAGCACUCACGCCCUCCCAAGCUGCCAUUUCCUGGCAAACCACUGGGAUAGUUAUUUCCCCAUUGACAAGUCAGUAUGCACUCCUGAACGGCCUUUCAAGUGAAGACUGUGGCUUAGUCAUGGCCAGGGGUAUCAGGAAGAGCAGCACGCCUUGCUCUCUGACAGAGGGCAUAGGACAGUUUCAUAAUCAGCUAUAGUACAAAGCAAUGGACUGUGUGCGGCAGCAGGAUGCAAGGAGCGCUUAACAGAUCUACUGGCAAAUAUGCCGGAUUCGGGACAAGACUUAACCAGACAGGAGAUAAGAACAACAAAUGGAAGAGAGUCCCAGCCAGGGCAGUGGAGCUGGCGGCAGGAAAUGCAGGGGAGGAUGGUGUCAUGAACAGAGGGAAAGAUGGGAGUUUCUGAGUGGUAGUGACAGGAAGGUUUGGACCAAUUCAGUUUCGGCCAAGUCCCAGGCAAUGACCAGAGCAGUGGGCCUCCGUGAUGCUCAGCCAUAUAACAUGUCACAGCUGAACUGGAAUCAUGAGUUUGACUAUGAUGUAUCUGAUCCUGGUCAGUAUGUAUCAAAGCCUCCAUUGAAGAUGAGGCUCAAUCAUAAUUAAGUUUAUCCCUUUAAAAAUGAAUGAAUCUCAGGUUCCAUUAGGUAUACUGCAAGCUUGCCAGUCUUAUUGAUUCUCAGUUCUCAAUUAUAGUGAUUCUAGCCUCAAAACCUUAUAAAAUACUUUUUAUAACAAAAGACUAAGGACAUAACAAGAAGCUAUGAGCUAUAAAUCUUCUAUGUAUUUAUGACAGAAUUUGAGGCUUUACUUUUUUUUUUUUUCAAGAUUCAUUUAUUCAAAAGGCAGAAAGAAAGGGGGGGAAAGAAAGAGAGAGAAAGAGAUCUUCCAUCUGUUGAUUCACUCCCCCUAAAUGCUCACAAUAGCUAUGGGUAAGUCAGACAGAGGCCAGGAACCAGGAACUCCAUCUGGGUUUCGCACAGUCAUGGCAGGAGCCCAAGCAUAUGGGCCAUGGUUUCCUGCCUCCCAGGUGCGUUAGCAGGAAGCUGAAUUAGAAGAAUAGCUGAAGCACUCCAGCAUGGGAUAUAGGCAUCCCAAGAGGCAGCUUGAUCCACUAAACACAAUGUCCACCCUUGUUUUUGUUUUUAUUAUUAAUUUUUUAUUAUUUAUUAUUUAUUUUAAAAAGGGACAGACGGAUCUUCCACCUGCUGAUUCACUCCCCAAAGCCCACAACAGCAAGGACUGGGCCAAGCUGAAACCAGGAGCUCAGAACUCAGGCUAGGUCUCCCACAUGGGUGGCAGGGACCCAAUUACUUGAUCCAUCACCUGCUGUCUGCCUGCCAGGAUGUGCAUUAGCAGAAAGCUGCCACCAGAAAUGGAGCUGGGGGGCCAGUGCUAUGGCAUAGC